Long non-coding RNA from Cebus imitator (Panamanian white-faced capuchin), 2519 nucleotides. RefSeq lists it as uncharacterized. NCBI's taxonomy places the organism in Eukaryota, Metazoa, Chordata, Mammalia, Primates, Cebidae. The record is from RefSeq and is a predicted model, not a curated record. The transcript has 2 exons.
UUUCCUUCUAACAGGCCCCUCUGCUGCAGAUUUGCUGGAGUUUGCUGGAGGUCCACUCCAGACACUGCUUUCUAGAGAAUCACCAGUGGAGGCUUCAGAGCAGCAAAGAUUGCUGCCUGUUCCUUCCUCUGGUAGCUUCGUCCCAGAGGGGUACCCACAGAUGCCAGCCAGAGCUCUCCUGUAUAAGAAAGUGUCUGUCUGCCCCUACUGAGAGGUGUCUCCCAGUCAGGAUACACACGGGUUAGGAAGCCACUUGAGGAGGCAGUCUGUCCCUUAUCAGAGCUCAAACACUGUGCUGGGAGAUCCACUGCUCUCUUCAGAGAUGCCAAGCAGGGACGUUUAGGUCUGCUGAAGCUAUACCCACAACCACCCCUUUUCCCAGGCGCUUUGUCCCAGGACGGUGGGACCUUUAUUUAUGACCUGAUGGGCUGCUGCCUUUUUUCAGAGAUGCCCUGCCCAGCAAGGAGGGCAUCUAGUGAGACAUUCUGCCUGCAGAUGCUAAGCUGUGGUGGGCUCCACCCAGUUCAAACUUCCUGGCAGCUUUGCUUACACUGUGAGGUUGAAACUACCUAUUGGAGCCUCGGCAAUGGUGGAUGCCCCUCCCCCCACCAAGCUCAAAGUCCCAGGUCAAGCUCAGACUGCUGUGCUGGCUGCAAGAGUUUCAAGCUGGUGGAUCUUAGCUUGCUGUCAUGGGGGUGGGAUGCACCAAGCCAGAUCAUUUGGCUCCCUGGCUUUAGCCCCCUUUCCAGGGGAGUGAACAUUUCUGUCUUGCUGGCAUCCCAGGUACCAUUAGGGUAUAUGAAGAAAAAAAACUCCUGCAGCUAGCUUGGUAUCUGCUCAAACAGCUGCCCAGUUUUCUGUUAGAAACCCAGGGCCCUGGUGGUUGAAUAGGUACUGGAGGACAUCUCCUGGUUUGUGGGUUGUGAAGACUGUGGGGAAAAUGCAGUAUCUGGGCUGGAGUGCAGAGAACCGUUCCUAAUGGCUUCCCUUGGCUAGAAGAGGGAGUUCCCCAGCCCCUUGUGCUUACUGGGUGAGGCGACAUACCACCUGCUUUGGCUCACCCUCCUUGAGCUGCUCCCACUGUCCAACCAGUCCCAAUGAGAUGAACCAUGUACCUCAGUUGGAAAUGUGGAAAUCACCCACCUUCUGCAUUGAUCUUGCUGGGAGCUGCGUACCAGAGCUGUUCCUAUUUGGCCAUCUUGCCAGCGUCCCAAGAAUAUGAUUUUUAAAAUAAACUUUGGAGAUGUAAACAAAGUCUUGAAUCUGCAGGCUGAAAGGGCACAUGAGAUGCUUGAAAAAAAUAUAUAUUUCCAUAUUUACGCAAAUUCACUCCAAUAUAUGGCUGGUGGAGUUGCUAAAUUUCAAAGAUAGGAAAAUUGAUAGGAAAAGUCAGUUAUGUAGAAAAGGGGAAAAUCAGGUUUUCUUUAUACUUCUCCAUAGUUGCAUCUACAAAAUAUGUGGUAAUGGAUUAGGAUUGGAGACAUCUGUGUGAACUCAUGUUUAGCUGAAUUUAGAUGCAGCUAGAUACAUAUAAAAACCCUUAUACAUAUGCUUAUUGUGAUACUUUAUAAUAUAUAUCAUAUAUUAUGUGUGCAUAUAUAUAUAAUCAUCAUACAUAUAUGAAAUAGUCUUUUGUCCACAGUUCCUGGCUUAUAACUCCUAUAGCCUUUGUUACACUUGUUAUAGUCACUUGUUAUAAUCUUGGGGCACUUCAGGCCUCAGGAGCAAGCCUCAGGAAACAGAAUCUCUCUCUCUCUGACCUCCUGUCCUCCUCUUGCCUGCACAAGGCGGGACCCUACUCUGAUUGUGGAUCAAGAGAUCCUCGUUCCAGAGAGGCGCCUGCCCUAUACUCUGGAGGAAGGAAUGCUGCACAGAGAGGCUAGGAAGAAUCUGUACAAGGCUGCACACAGUGACUUCCAUCCAACGAGUACAACAUAGAAUGGGGGGACAAAGAAUGGAGAAACCUGACAAACACUGCCUCGGCUCUGUGAUCAAGCCCAGCAUUGGUGGUAAGUUGUGUUCAUGUCAUGUACCCUUGAUAUAAUGUGAUGAGAAUGACGCUUUACUUCUGUUCUCUUCCUCGCAUGAACCCAUAACCUCAAUGUAAUUAUAAGAAUAACAUCAGACAAAUUGAGGGCCAGCCUACAAAGUACUCUGACUUGUACUCCUCAAAACUGUCAAGGUCAUCAAACACAGGGAAAGUCUGAGAAACCACAGCCCAGAGAAGUCCAAGGAGGCACGAUGCUUCAUAUGCUGUGGUAUCCUGGACAGAAUCCUGGAUCAGAAAAAGAAGGGCAGGUGAAAAGAAAUUCAAAUAAAGUGUGGACUUUAGUUAAUUACAGUAUAUCAAUAUUUAUUCAUUAGUUUUAACUGACAGAUACACGAAUGUGACACAUUAACAACAGGAGAAACUGUGAGGUUCCCUUAUGCCCUUGGUACUAUCUCUGUAAAUUUUCUGUAAAUGUAAAACUAUUUAAAAAUUAGAAAAUAUUUUAAAACAAAAUUUUUUCAACCCAGAA